UACGAAGGGGGCGAGCGUUGUUCGGAAUUACUGGGCGUAAAGGGCGCGUAGGCGGCCGAUCAAGUCAGAUGUGAAAGUCCUGGGCUUAACCUGGGGACUGCAUUUGAUACUGAUUGGCUUGAAUUCGGGAGAGGAUAGCGGAAUUCCCAGUGUAGAGGUGAAAUUCGUAGAUAUUGGGAAGAACACCGGUGGCGAAGGCGGCUAUCUGGACAGUGACUGACGCUGAGACGCGAAAGCGUGGGGAGCAAACAGG
Molecule: ribosomal RNA, 253 nt
Filed under: uncultured bacterium
Lineage: Bacteria
Description: partial 16S ribosomal RNA
Rfam family: Bacterial small subunit ribosomal RNA
Source: RNAcentral